RNAcentral lists this ribosomal RNA (1428 nucleotides) under uncultured organism. RNAcentral describes it as "partial small subunit ribosomal RNA". It matches the Rfam family "Bacterial small subunit ribosomal RNA". The record is from RNAcentral.
UGACGAACGCUGGCGGCGUGCUUAACACAUGCAAGUCGAACGGAAAGGCCCUGCUUUUGUGGGGUGCUCGAGUGGCGAACGGGUGAGUAACACGUGAGUAACCUGCCCUUGACUUUGGGAUAACUUCAGGAAACUGGGGCUAAUACCGGAUAGGAGCUCCUGCUGCAUGGUGGGGGUUGGAAAGUUUCGGCGGUUGGGGAUGGACUCGCGGCUUAUCAGCUUGUUGGUGGGGUAGUGGCUUACCAAGGCUUUGACGGGUAGCCGGCCUGAGAGGGUGACCGGCCACAUUGGGACUGAGAUACGGCCCAGACUCCUACGGGAGGCAGCAGUGGGGAAUAUUGCACAAUGGGCGGAAGCCUGAUGCAGCAACGCCGCGUGCGGGAUGACGGCCUUCGGGUUGUAAACCGCUUUCGCCUGUGACGAAGCGUGAGUGACGGUAAUGGGUAAAGAAGCACCGGCUAACUACGUGCCAGCAGCCGCGGUGAUACGUAGGGUGCGAGCGUUGUCCGGAUUUAUUGGGCGUAAAGGGCUCGUAGGUGGUUGAUCGCGUCGGAAGUGUAAUCUUGGGGCUUAACCCUGAGCGUGCUUUCGAUACGGGUUGACUUGAGGAAGGUAGGGGAGAAUGGAAUUCCUGGUGGAGCGGUGGAAUGCGCAGAUAUCAGGAGGAACACCAGUGGCGAAGGCGGUUCUCUGGGCCUUUCCUGACGCUGAGGAGCGAAAGCGUGGGGAGCGAACAGGCUUAGAUACCCUGGUAGUCCACGCUGUAAACGGUGGGUACUAGGUGUGGGGUCCAUUCCACGGGUUCCGUGCCGUAGCUAACGCUUUAAGUACCCCGCCUGGGGAGUACGGCCGCAAGGCUAAAACUCAAAGGAAUUGACGGGGCCCCGCACAAGCGGCGGAGCAUGCGGAUUAAUUCGAUGCAACGCGUAGAACCUUACCUGGGUUUGACAUGGAUCGGGAGUGCUCAGAGAUGGGUGUGCCUCUUUUGGGGUCGGUUCACAGGUGGUGCAUGGCUGUCGUCAGCUCGUGUCGUGAGAUGUUGGGUUAAGUCCCGCAAUGAGCGCAACCCUUGUUCACUGUUGCCAGCACGUUAUGGUGGGGACUCAGUGGAGACCGCCGGGGUCAACUCGGAGGAAGGUGGGGAUGACGUCAAGUCAUCAUGCCCCUUAUGUCCAGGGCUUCACGCAUGCUACAAUGGCUGGUACAGAGAGUGGCGAGCCUGUGAGGGUGAGCGAAUCUCGGAAAGCCGGUCUCAGUUCGGAUUGGGGUCUGCAACUCGACCUCAUGAAGUCGGAGUCGCUAGUAAUCGCAGAUCAGCAACGCUGCGGUGAAUACGUUCCCGGGGCUUGUACACACCGCCCGUCAAGUCAUGAAAGUUGGUAACACCCGAAGCCGGUGGCCUAACCGUUGUGGGGGAGCCGUCGAAGG